GGUAGUAGCUCAGUUGGUAGAGCAUUGGCUUCCCAAGCCAAGGGUCGCGGGUUCGAGCCCCGUUUAC
This 67-nucleotide transfer RNA is filed under the name human gut metagenome. It matches the Rfam family "tRNA". From Rfam's summary of the family: Transfer RNA (tRNA) molecules are approximately 80 nucleotides in length. The record is from RNAcentral.